This 481-nucleotide ribosomal RNA is filed under the name uncultured bacterium. RNAcentral's name for it is "partial 16S ribosomal RNA". It matches the Rfam family "Bacterial small subunit ribosomal RNA", at positions 29 to 506 of the family's 1533-position model. The record is from RNAcentral.
AUUGAACGCUGGCGGCAUGCUUUACACAUGCCAGUCGAACGGUAACAGGCCGCAAGGUGCUGACGAGUGGCGAACGGGUGAGUAAUGCAUCGGAACGUGCCCAGUCGUGGGGGAUAACUACUCGAAAGAGUAGCUAAUACCGCAUACGAUCUAUGGAUGAAAGCGGGGGACCGUAAGGCCUCGCGCGAUUGGAGCGGCCGAUGUCAGAUUAGGUAGUUGGUGGGGUAAAGGCUCACCAAGCCAACGAUCUGUAGCUGGUCUGAGAGGACGACCAGCCACAUAGGGACUGAGAAACGGCCCAGGCCCCAGGGGGAGGGAGGGGGGGGAAAUUUUGGACAAUGGGCGAAAGCCUGAUCCAGAAAGGCCGCGUGGAGGAAGAAGGCCUUCGGGUUGGAAACUGCUUUUGUACGGAAGGAAACGGCUCUGGUUAAACCCCGGGGCUAAGGACGGUACCGUAAGAAUAAGCACCGGCUAACUACGU